GACGAACGCUGGCGGCGUGCCUAAUACAUGCAAGUCGAGCGCAGGAAGUCAUCCGAACCCUUCGGGGGGACGUUGACGGAAUGAGCGGCGGACGGGUGAGUAACACGUAAAGAACCUGCCCUCAGGUCUGGGAUAACCACGAGAAAUCGGGGCUAAUACCGGAUGGGUCAUCGGACCGCAUGUUCCGAGGAUGAAAGGCGCUCCGGCGUCGCCUGGGGAUGGCUUUGCGGUGCAUUAGCUAGUUGGUGGGGUAAUGGCCCACCAAGGCGACGAUGCAUAGCCGACCUGAGAGGGUGAUCGGACACACUGGGACUGAGACACGGCCCAGACUCCUACGGGAGGCAGCAGUAGGGAAUCUUCCACAAUGGACGAAAGUCUGAUGGAGCAACGCCGCGUGAGCGAUGAAGGCCCUCGGGUCGUAAAGUUCUGUUGUAAGGGAAGAACAAGUGCCGCAGGCAAUGGCGGCACCUUGACGGUACCUUGCGAGAAAGCCACGGCUAACUACGUG
Molecule: ribosomal RNA, 508 nt
Filed under: uncultured bacterium
Lineage: Bacteria
Description: partial 16S ribosomal RNA
Rfam family: Bacterial small subunit ribosomal RNA
Source: RNAcentral